AUGAUAAACAAUGACUUUAGGUCAAAGGACCACGAUGGCGAGAGGGACGUACCACUAUGUCUCUUCUGGACAAUCAAUUGUUCCUACCAACUUUAUGUGAGUAUACUUCUGGACGCGCUAGUCUCCAAGUCAAUAAAUGUUGGAACUUGGAAGGAAAACUCUGAACGCGCUAAUUUCCAAGUCAACAGACGUUGGAGGAGGAAAAGUAAUUCUUCUGAACCUGUGAAAUUAGUUGUCCUUCGAAACUGGUGUUUGAGUAAACCUUCCAUUCCAAACAACACACACACACACACACACAGAGGGAGGCAGGGAGAGAGAUAG
This 321-nucleotide ribosomal RNA is filed under the name Triticum aestivum (bread wheat). RNAcentral's name for it is "partial small subunit ribosomal RNA". Lineage: Eukaryota; Viridiplantae; Streptophyta; Magnoliopsida; Poales; Poaceae. The record is from RNAcentral.